This 207-nucleotide ribosomal RNA is filed under the name uncultured bacterium. Its description in RNAcentral is "partial 16S ribosomal RNA". It matches the Rfam family "Bacterial small subunit ribosomal RNA", at positions 568 to 774 of the family's 1533-position model. The record is from RNAcentral.
CGUGUAGGCGGCCGUACAGGUCAGCUGUGAAAACUCGAGGCUCAACCUCGAGACGUCGGUUGAAACCGUACGGCUAGAGUCCGGAAGAGGAGAGUGGAAUUCCCGGUGUAGCGGUGAAAUGCGCAGAUAUCGGGAAGAACACCCGUGGCGAAGGCGGCUCUCUGGGACGGUACUGACGCUGAGACGCGAAAGCGUGGGGAGCAAACA